Molecule: long non-coding RNA, 6412 nt
Organism: Alligator mississippiensis (American alligator)
Lineage: Eukaryota; Metazoa; Chordata; Crocodylia; Alligatoridae
Exons: 4
Source: RefSeq, a predicted model, not a curated record
UGGACACCUGAAAGAUGUGACAAGUGGUGAGUUGUAUUUUCUUUUAACUCCCCCCCCCCCGGUAAUUUUGUGCCUCCCCCCCUCCCCCCCGGGUGCUGAUUCCCAGGCUCGGCGAGACGCGUGUCCUCACGCACGUCCCUGUCUGCGCCGGGUGCUCAGCAGGUGCGGGGGGUGCGGGGCCGGGAAGGGGGACGAGGGGCCUCGGCGGAGCCGGGUGCGGGGCUGGGCUGGGCGGGAGUCCGCGGGCUGCUGGGGGGAGGCUUUGCGGGUCCCUCUGCCGCGGCUCCCGCUGCCAACAAAGCCAGGCGAGCGGUGUGCGGGAGGGGGUCGCGGCAGACAGAGCAGGCACCUGGGCUCUCCCGGGACCGCGCGCUAGACAGUGUCUGAUGCUGCAGCGGCGGCAGCUCCGCUGCAGUCUCCUGCCCCUGCCCCUGCCCGAGGAGGAUGCCUCGCUGCCCGCCCGCAUCAGUCCCUUGUCCUUCCUCCAUCGCACGCGUUUCGCUGGAAAAAACCACGGCGGCUCCGGCAGCCUCCCCUGCGCACACGCAGCCAGACGCAGGAGAUGCCCGGGGAUAAAUAAAGAUGUCGCUCUGCCCCGCGGCUGGGCAGCUCCGGGAGCACAAAAGGCGGUCGGGUCGGGUCGGGUUGGGUCGGGUCGGGUCGUGCGGGGCUCUCGCUCUCGCUCUGCUCCCGCGCGCGGGCGGGAGUGCCAUGAGCAACUGUCUGGUCCGGUGACACGGCCGCGUCGCGCCCGCCGUCCCCUCCGCGCACACGCCGCGGCCGGGUCGCCGCCCUGUUUGGUGCGCUGACAUGUGCCGGCAGCCAGGUGGACGCGGGCGCCGUGCGCGGACCUCUCGCUCCGGUGCCGGGAGUCCGCCAAGUUCGUGUUGUGGGCGGCCCCGAGGCAGCCGGACCCGACACUGCAAGUGUCUGCGAGUGCCCGGGGGGCAGGAGGCCGGAUCCAUGGUUGGUCACUCAAGCAAGACAGGCCUGGUGCUGAGCCCCGCAGCCCCCCGCAGCCACAGGUGCUCAGUGCUUCGCAGCAGCACGCCCCCAGUUUGCACUUCGGGAAAUGUUGGCUGGAAGGAGCUACCAAGAACUUGCACGGGAAAGGCGAGGAAGGAAAACGCCGAACUUCUGACCUGCAGACAUGUGUCGCUGCUCCGAUCAGGGGAAAACAGCAACCCAGCCAUUUUUUAAGUUACCAUAACUAAAUACAUAAAUAAAUACAAUUCCCAGCUUCCACAGGCCAUAGAGUCCAUGUGAAUCUUUUAAUACAAAGUAAACCUAACAUUUACUUUAUUUUUAGUUUUCAAGUGCAGUUUUUUUUAAAAAAAUAAUGCUCAUACCAAGCUCGUUCAGCUGUCUAAACGUGGACUAUGUUUCUGAAUAACUCCAGUUAUUUAUUAGAAUUUUUGUAGGAAAAGGAAACGGCAAAUUUCAAGUUCCUUUGAAUGAGAUAUCUGUCUUUCUCUCUCAUCUCUAAAAUAUAUAUUUAGUGUCGAGAGCAGCAUUACAGAAAUACGUAUGACAUCCCUUCAAAAUAUAACUACUGUUGAGUAGAAGUCCUGAUUGUUACAGCGAAAAUGAAAUUUCCACCAAAUUUGGACAGAAAUGGAGACUGUUACCCAAAAUGUUUCAAUCUUUGCUUGAAAUGAAGUGAAACAGUUGUGUUUACUGUUGCUUAAAAUAUAAAUGGCAAGAUGUGCAACCACCUGUUGAUAAACAAAUGUCAGAAGUCAUAAAUCUAAGGAACAUGCUGGCACCUGUGCAGUACUUGGGAAAAGGAAUAAAUUUCACCAUAAGACUCUUGACUAGACCAACAGGCUGAAGUGACCACUUCAUACUUGCCAUCUAGGCUCUGAGCUGUUCCCCCCUCCCCUUCCUCCCAUGCAGUUUGCUUCUGGAUGCACUGCAGGUGUUGAUCAUCUAUGAAGUCUCCUAACUGGCUUGGCAGUUAAUAAACUAGUGCCUUGAUCCUGCAUUGCAAUGCACAAACAGACUCUUGACUUCAGCAGGGUUCUGACUGGGAAGAAGCAAUCUGUCUAAGAACUACAUGAAGUGGAAGAAAGGAAUAAUACACAGAUAUGCUUUUAGCAUCAAGAUUAUGCUACAUAAACAAGAAAUUUACUUUGGUAUAAUGUGGAUGGCGUUUUAUAAACAUGUAACUAUUAUAGAUCCUUGCCCCAAGAAACAUAAAAAAUGACCAAAUACUGCUCCAAUUGAAGUGAAAAUUGAGCUUGAUAUUGACUUUGUACAAGAGCAGAACACAUUCUAAUAUCUAUAGACUACUAUAUAUCUACACAGCACUACAUAGUACAUUAUUAAUUGUGCUAAUUAAUCUAAGUGGAUGACUGCAAAAAUGGUUAUACUGCUUCCAAGCUCUGAGAGAGCUUGUUUCCACAGCACAGUACUCUGAGACAUAACACAGCUAGGCGUGCCUAUACAUGUGCUCCAACAUGUUUUAAUUAGAAUGUGUCGGAGCACUCUCAAUUAAUCCAGUUUUCUUCAAAUUCUAAUUAGACUGCGCUAGCACUGCCACAGGAUCACAUGCAAAAAUGGUUGCUGGGGUUCUUUAACUAAUGCUCAUCGAAUGAACUUUAGUUAAAGCGUUCCAUGGCCAUUUUUAAAUGCAGGGGGCCUUAAUACACAUGACACUUUGGUGCUUUCCAGGAACCACUCUAAUUAAAGUGCAUCCCCCACACCCGAGCACUUGUACAGGCACCCGAGGUUAGGCAGCAGACAAUAUGUGGACAUUAUGUGGACAGGAUGCAAGGAUUGGAGAAGAGAAGCAGUAUAACAAAAAAUGGGCAGGUUCAACCUGAAGCCUGAUACUUCAUGACAUUUGCUCAUUACACAGCACUACUGUGAAUGUAGUUCUAAUUCUGUACUUCAUAUCCAGGAAAAAAAUUCCAUUGCAACCACUAGGAGUUUUCUGAUUAAAAACUAUGAGAUUAGGUCUUGGAGUAAGAUACCAUAAAGUGUUUGGAGAUCAGAAGACAACCACUUAUACUGAGGAACUAGGCAAAACAGCGGAGAUUCAAGCUUAGUCUGUUCUUGCUUUGCUACAAUCAAUUAGGUUGGUAUUGUUUGAACAUAAUACUAAUGGUCUUAAAAGAAUUUUUUUUCUCUGACUUUUUAAAAAGGAAACAAACUAGCAUGUAUACAACAAAUCUGAAGUGUUACCGUCUAAAAACUGACAACACAUAUAAAAAUAAUACUAAAUUAUAACAAUAAAUAUUAAAUGAUAAACAUAAUUAUGAAAGAAGGCAGACUACUGUGACAUGCUCAGUACUGUUCCUCAAGGUAACAUUUGAUUAGACUCUAAAACAAAUUAGGCAUCUGCUUAGAGUUUUUUUUAUUUUGAAUUAAUGUACUGCAUAUGACCCAACAGUUGGAAAAUCAGAAGUUCGCCACUUAAUUGUAGGACACCAAACAGGAAUACAAACUUCCUUGUCCUACCCACAUGACACUGAAAAAGAAAAUAUUAUUGUAUUCUUUCAUAACAGAUUAAAACACGGUUGUGUUCCUAAUGUAAGACAAGAGUUUUGGACCAUUACUCUGGGAUAGGGAUUUUCUUUUUGUUUUGUAUUUACACAGUUCCUUGUACUAUGGAGUUCUAGUCAAUUACUACAAUAUCUAAGUGCUACAAUAAUAUGGAUAAUGAGUAACAAAUAGUACUUUGAGUACUGCAGUACUUCUCUUUGUUUUAGAGCAUUGUUUGUACUCUAGGCAGUAGCUAUUGAAUACACAUUUUUAGCAUUAGAAGUAAUAAAAAAAAGAAUGAUUACUGCUGACUGAAUCCUAGAGAGAAAACCAUAGAAGUAAAAAAUAAAACAGUAAACCAGAGUCCCUUUAGCAUGCAGGCCAUUUGCCAGCUACUUUUCACAGGAACUUUAAUUUCUGUUGUUUGCUUCAAAUGUAGAAAGAAGAUAAACAUUUUCUUGUUGCAAGUUAACAAACAUGACAGGUUGAUAAGCACUAUCCAGAGUGGUAUUCGGAGCUUCUUAGGUCAUUUGAAAAAAGUUGGAAAUGCACUAAAGAGUUUUAAACUGAAACUAAAAAAUUAAUAGUAGUUGGUCAGUGCUUGAUGUCCUACAGAAGAGUGAUUUCUUCUGUUAGUACCUAGAGCUUUUGCUUCUGUAGACAGCUCUGUCUGUAGAGAAUUGUUCAAGAACUCUGCUAGCUACAUGCAGGGCAUUUACUGUAGCAUUUACUCUAGAGUAACCCACCUUGGGCAGGCGUCUACACAUGCAGGGAAGGAGGAACAGAUUUGCUGCUUGUGGCAGCAGUCUGCUCCUGCCCCAAAUAGCCCUGCAUCAGCCCCCUGCAGCAGCCUGGGGGAGCUCUAGGCUGGGGUUGACUCUAGGCUGGGGCUGACAGAUUGCUCCCAGCCCCUGGGAGCUGCCUGCCAGGAGCCUGGCCCUUGGCAGGAGCCCGGGUGGUGACAAUAUCCUCCUGUCCCGGCAGCAGGGAGCUCCCAACCCCUGCUCUGUGAUUGCAGAGCAGGGGCUGGGAGUACCCUGCUGCUGGGGCAGGGGGACAUUGUCCCCACCCAGGAUCCAGUGGCAGAGCCUGCCCUGGCAGCAGGAAGCUCCUGGGGGCAGGGAGCAAUCUCCUGCUCCCUGCUGUCUGGCUGACCAGGAGCACAUUUACUCCCAGUCAGUCAUCUACAUUUGACAUACUGCAUAGUAAUUACUCCUGAGUAAAUUUGCUGCUUGUAUUUACAAGCAGCAAAUUUACUUGCAAUUAGAGCAAAUUACUGCACAGUAAGCAUCUGCAAGCAUAGUUGGUGAUGCUUACUGCACAGUAAUUUGCUCUGAUCUUGAGUAAAGCGUCUCAUGUAGACAUGCACAAAGAAUACAUCAUUAUGAGGUAGUAAUCCAUGUUUUCUAGCAAUCUAAAUAUAGGGGACUGCUAUAGCCAAGCAACUCUACUGCACCAAGUGGGAUUACUAGAGUAUAAGAGAACAGAAUUUAGCCCAGUGGCUUUCUUUAGAUUAAAAAUAUUCAGUUUAUGCAGUACCCUGGGCCUCUGCACUUUAAGUGGAAAGGGUUUGGGUUGUGGGGGCUUGGGAGGUUAAAAGAAGGGAUAGUAUAGACAGGAACUCAGCAAGUUUCUCCUGAACUCCCCUAUAUAAAGCACCUUGAUUCUUACCUGAAUUUUUGGUGAGGCAGACAAAUAUCAACUAAAAAAUACAUUGAUACUUCAACUCCUAAGUCUAUAUUAGAACUCAAGAUUUCCAAAGGUAAAUUAUAUUAAAGUGUUGCCACAUAUAUCUCAAAUAUAGUCCAUGUUUAUCUUUUCUCAGUGACAUACACCAAUAAAAUAUGAUUAGGGACAUAGAGAUAAUGCAUGGUAGUGUGGAAUAAAGGUUUUAUUGGCAAGAACCUGGAAUGACUGUAUUAAUUACCAGUUGGGAAGUCACAAGUCAGCUAGGAAAAAUACUUCCAUGCAAGUCCCAAUAAAGCCCUUUAUACUAUGCCUCAUGUAAUUUCUUUUUCAACAUAUUUUAUAGAGAAGGUACUCUGGAAAAUUUUAAAGAGUUUUAAAAGAAAAAAAAUAUGUCUGUGCUAUUUUAAAUAUUUUCUUGCUUAUAAAUACAGAUUCUCUAAGCAAAGUGCAAGCAUUUAUGGUUUUAGAUAAAUACUACUACUAUAUGUACAGAAGAUAAUCAGUGUUUUAGGAAACCGAAAUUGUGUGGAAAUCUAUGACCAACAUGGCUUUCUAAAGUAAUACAGAUGAGUUAUGUUUAUGCUGUGUCUUGUGAAUUGGCGUAAAACGGAAAAAGAAAAUCAGUAGGGAUGGAAAGCAAUGUGGACUUUAGCAAGAAGUGAUCCACAACCAAGGCUAAUAUUUUUAGGUUAUUUGCAAAGAAUUUCAUGACGCUUAUAAGUCUGGGUUAGGCCUGGUCAUUCUCUUUGAAUGUGGUUGCUUGGCAUUGGAUAAUAUGGAUACCCUUGGCUAUUUGUAUGAGAAUUGUUUCCUGUGUCUAGGUUUCCCACUGAGAGUAUACAAGGGAAUACUCAAAAAAUCUUUCAAGACUUCCUCUUUAUUUAGUGCAAAGCCACAGGAGAAGAAACAUGCAUAGGAUGUUUAUUGAAAAGAUUGAGAAAGUGUUGCUCUUCCAAAUGAAUGUUCAUGAGGACUAUAACACAAAUUGGAUGACUUGGUUGCAGGAACCAGUCUCCUGGAAAGGAAGCAGCAAAAUCUAGUUUUGGUUCUAUGCAUUCAGAAACAAAAUACCUUUUAGCUGCAAGAGGGAAGUUGUUUAUUGACAGCUGGAUAUCCUGAGCAGCCAAGCAAAUGUUGUAGUAGCAAUACAAAAUAUUUCUCAUGUUAACACUGUUUGCCUUGUACUUGUGAUAUUUUUACAACUGCAUUCCACUUAAUACACAGGGAUCAAACAGUA